Molecule: transfer RNA, 57 nt
Filed under: Ictidomys tridecemlineatus (thirteen-lined ground squirrel)
Lineage: Eukaryota; Metazoa; Chordata; Mammalia; Rodentia; Sciuridae
Description: Spermophilus tridecemlineatus (thirteen-lined ground squirrel) tRNA
Rfam family: tRNA
About the family: Transfer RNA (tRNA) molecules are approximately 80 nucleotides in length. Their secondary structure includes four short double-helical elements and three loops (D, anti-codon, and T loops). Further hydrogen bonds mediate the characteristic L-shaped molecular structure. tRNAs have two regions of fundamental functional importance: the anti-codon, which is responsible for specific mRNA codon recognition, and the 3' end, to which the tRNAs corresponding amino acid is attached (by aminoacyl-tRNA synthetases). tRNAs cope with the degeneracy of the genetic code in two manners: having more than one tRNA (with a specific anti-codon) for a particular amino acid; and 'wobble' base-pairing, i.e. permitting non-standard base-pairing at the 3rd anti-codon position.
Source: Rfam by way of RNAcentral
UGGCUCAGUGGUAGAGCACUUGCCUCGCAUGCAUGAGGCCUUGGGUUCAAUCCCCAG